Molecule: non-coding RNA, 71 nt
Organism: Leisingera methylohalidivorans DSM 14336
Lineage: Bacteria; Pseudomonadati; Pseudomonadota; Alphaproteobacteria; Rhodobacterales; Roseobacteraceae
Source: Rfam
GCGGCCGUAGCUCAGUGGUAGAGCAUGAGGUUUCCACCCUCUGUGCGCCAGUUCGAUUCUGGUCGGCCUCU